CAUGCAAGUCGAACGAGAAUCUACUGAAAGAGUUUUCGGACAAUGGAUGUAGAGGAAAGUGGCGGACGGGUGAGUAACGCGUGAGGAACCUGCCUUGAAGAGGGGGACAACAGUUGGAAACGACUGCUAAUACCGCAUAACGCAUAGGGGUCGCAUGAUCUUUAUGCCAAAGAUUUAUUGCUUCAAGAUGGCCUCGCGUCUGAUUAGCUAGUUGGCGGGGUAACGGCCCACCAAGGCGACGAUCAGUAGCCGGACUGAGAGGUUGAACGGCCACAUUGGGACUGAGAUACGGCCCAGACUCCUACGGGAGGCAGCAGUGGGGAAUAUUGGGCAAUGGGCGCAAGCCUGACCCAGCAACGCCGCGUGAAGGAAGAAGGCUUUCGGGUUGUAAACUUCUUUUAAGAGGGAAGAGUAGAAGACGGUACCUCUAGAAUAAGCCACGGCUAACUACGUGCCAGCAGCCGCGGUAAUACGUAGGUGGCAAGCGUUGUCCGGAUUUACUGGGUGUAAAGGGCGUGCAGCCGGGUCUGCAAGUCAGAUGUGAAAUCCAUGGGCUCAACCCAUGAACUGCAUUUGAAACUGUAGAUCUUGAGUGUCGGAGGGGCAAUCGGAAUUCCUAGUGUAGCGGUGAAAUGCGUAGAUAUUAGGAGGAACACCAGUGGCGAAGGCGGAUUGCUGGACGAUAACUGACGGUGAGGCGCGAAAGUGUGGGGAGCAAACAGGAUUAGAUACCCUGGUAGUCCACACUGUAAACGAUGAAUACUAGGUGUGCGGGGACUGACCCCCUGCGUGCCGCAGUAAACACAAUAAGUAUUCCACCUGGGGAGUACGAUCGCAAGGUUGAAACUCAAAGGAAUUGACGGGGGCCCGCACAAGCGGUGGAUUAUGUGGUUUAAUUCGAAGCAACGCGAAGAACCUUACCAGGGUUUGACAUCCUGCUAACGAAGUAGAGAUACAUUAGUG
This 963-nucleotide ribosomal RNA is filed under the name uncultured bacterium. Its description in RNAcentral is "bacterial SSU rRNA". It matches the Rfam family "Bacterial small subunit ribosomal RNA", at positions 54 to 1016 of the family's 1533-position model. The record is from RNAcentral.